UCUAGAACUCGAGAUAUGGGCUGAACACUGAACAGUGUCUGAGUUGCAAAACAGAUUUUAUCUCCUCUGUUGUUGCUACCAUUUGAACUAAAAAAUGACGCUUUUAAAUCUUGGACUCUUCAUGGAAGUUUUAGGCCUAUGUCUUAGCUUUUCAUA
Molecule: non-coding RNA, 156 nt
Organism: Populus trichocarpa (black cottonwood)
Lineage: Eukaryota; Viridiplantae; Streptophyta; Magnoliopsida; Malpighiales; Salicaceae
Source: Rfam